RNAcentral lists this ribosomal RNA (253 nucleotides) under uncultured bacterium. Its description in RNAcentral is "partial 16S ribosomal RNA". It matches the Rfam family "Bacterial small subunit ribosomal RNA", at positions 524 to 776 of the family's 1533-position model. The record is from RNAcentral.
GACGAAGGAUGCAAGCGUUAUCCGGAUUCAUUGGGUUUAAAGGGCGCGUAGGUGGCCUUGUAAGUCAGUGGUGAAAUCCUGUCGCUUAACGAGAGAAUUGCCUCUGAUACUGCAGGGCUUGAGUACAGUUGCCGUUGGCGGAAUAUGACAUGUAGUGGUGAAAUACUUAGAUAUGUCAUAGAACACCGAUUGCGAAGGCAGCUGACGAAACUGUAACUGACACUGAGGCUCGAAAGUGCGGGGAUCAAACAGG